GAUGAACGCUGGCGGCGUGCCUAAUACAUGCAAGUCGAGCGAACAGACGAGGAGCUUGCUCCUCUGACGUUAGCGGCGGACGGGUGAGUAACACGUGGAUAACCUACCUAUAAGACUGGGAUAACUUCGGGAAACCGGAGCUAAUACCGGAUAAUAUAUUGAACCGCAUGGUUCAAUAGUGAAAGACGGUUUUGCUGUCACUUAUAGAUGGAUCCGCGCCGCAUUAGCUAGUUGGUAAGGUAACGGCUUACCAAGGCAACGAUGCGUAGCCGACCUGAGAGGGUGAACGCCACCACUGGACCGGGGCACCGGUCCAGCCCCCACGGGGGGGAAGCGGUGGGGAAUCUCCCGCAAUGGGGGAAAGCCUGACGGAGCAAAGCCGGGGGGGUGAUGAAGGGUUUCGGUUCGUAAAACCUUGUUAUUGGGGAAAAAAAAAUGGGUAAGUAACAAUGCCCGUUUUGAGGGUACUAAAUAAGAAAGCCCCGGCUAACUACGU
Molecule: ribosomal RNA, 496 nt
Filed under: uncultured bacterium
Lineage: Bacteria
Description: partial 16S ribosomal RNA
Rfam family: Bacterial small subunit ribosomal RNA
Source: RNAcentral